AAGACCUAUUCAUUGUGUAACUUGUAUUUAACCUAGACCUAUUCAUCUUGGCAGGAAUAUUGACAAGGCCGACCUAGGCAUAAGGGUUAAAGGCAUGUAUAUAAAGGAAGUGACUUGAGGUCACAAGAUACACAUUCAGCGAAUAUCCUCUAUCUUCAUCAAGUAGCGAAUUGCCUUCUGUAAUCAGUGAAUUAUCUCAGUUAUAGCGAAUCAGUAUUAGAAGUCAGCAAACUUGAUUGGAAGAUCAACGAACAUAAUCUAGAGGUCAGCGAACUCCUUCUAGCUGUGAGCGAACUACUAGUCAGCAAUCUGCCCUUAUGUUCUGAUCUGCAAUCUUUAGCAAGAGAAGUAGAGUUACAGCCCAGAGAACCCUAUCAAGAUUGAGCGAACGUCUUGCAAGGCUGAGUGAGUAAACUUCAUACAAAGACAACGAACUCAAAUCUGGGCUGCCAAAUUGAGCUAUAGGGAUUUGAUUCUUCAAAUUGUUAUAUCUCAGAUAAGUUGUGCUUGUGCCCUAGAAGGCUAUAUUUUAAAUCUGCUCUGUGGUUAAUAUAAUACAAUCUGAGAUAGUUGUUGCUGGGUUUUUCACUUCAAAGAGGGAGGUUUUCCCAGGACUAGGGCUGAAAUAGUUUAGCGUGAAUGAUUGGGAAUGGAUUGUAUCAGAUAGUUCUACAACAACAUAACAGCUUGAAGUUUGAGGGCAUCAAUGAGGCCGUAACGAGAGUAUGAAGGCUUCAAAUAAAAUCUUAGAAUACAGG
Cryptomeria japonica (Japanese cedar) is the source of this 758-nucleotide long non-coding RNA. RefSeq lists it as uncharacterized. The record is from RefSeq and is a predicted model, not a curated record. Lineage: Eukaryota; Viridiplantae; Streptophyta; Pinopsida; Cupressales; Cupressaceae. The transcript is spliced from 2 exons.